This 253-nucleotide ribosomal RNA is filed under the name uncultured bacterium. RNAcentral describes it as "partial 16S ribosomal RNA". It matches the Rfam family "Bacterial small subunit ribosomal RNA", at positions 524 to 776 of the family's 1533-position model. The record is from RNAcentral.
UACAGAGGGUGCGAGCGUUAAUCGGAAUUACUGGGCGUAAAGCGCACGUAGGUGGCGACGUAAGUCGGGUGUGAAAGCCCCGGGCUCAACCUGGGAAUUGCAUUCGAAACUGCAUUGCUGGAGUACGGAAGAGGAGGGCGGAAUUCCCGGUGUAGCGGUGAAAUGCGUAGAUAUCGGGAGGAACAUCAGUGGCGAAGGCGGCCCUCUGGUCCAGUACUGACACUCAAGUGCGAAAGCGUGGGGAGCAAACAGG